RNAcentral lists this ribosomal RNA (480 nucleotides) under Rhipicephalus microplus (southern cattle tick). RNAcentral's name for it is "partial small subunit ribosomal RNA". The record is from RNAcentral. Lineage: Eukaryota; Metazoa; Arthropoda; Arachnida; Ixodida; Ixodidae.
AACAAAUAGAAAAAUUCUUUUUAUAAUAAAAUUUAAAAAAUAAAUUUAAUUAUAUUUAUUAAAAAUUAAGGUGAAAUUUUUUUUUAAUUGAAUUUUGUAUAAAAUUAAAAUUCUUAUAAUAAACUAGGAUUAGAUACCCUAUUAUUUAAGAGCUUUACAUUGUAAGUAAAUAUUAAUUACGAAAGCAAAAAAUUAUGGCGGUAUUUUAAGCUUUUCAGAGGAAUUUGCUCUUUAAUGGAUAAAACACCUAAAUCUUACUUAAAUUUGUUAAGUCAAUUUGUAUACCACUAUUAAAUUAAUUAUUAAUUUUAAUUUAUAAAAUUUAUGCAAAUUUAAAAAAAAUUAAGUCAAGGUGCAGUAAAAAUUUAAGAAUGAAGUGAAUUACAUUUCUUUUAAGAGAUUAUUAAAAUUAAAAUUUUAAUUUAGGAUUUGAAAGUAAAAUUAAAAUAGAAUGUUAAUUUGAAUUAAGCUCUAAAAUAU